CCUACGGGAGGCAGCAGUGAGGAAUAUUGGUCAAUGGACGAGAGUCUGAACCAGCCAAGUAGCGUGAAGGAUGACUGCCCUAUGGGUUGUAAACUUCUUUUAUAUGGGAAUAAAAUGUUCCACGUGUGGGACUUUGUAUGUACCAUAUGAAUAAGGAUCGGCUAACUCCGUGCCAGCAGCCGCGGUAAUACGGAGGAUCCGAGCGUUAUCCGGAUUUAUUGGGUUUAAAGGGAGCGUAGGUGGAUUGUUAAGUCAGUUGUGAAAGUUUGCGGCUCAACCGUAAAAUUGCAGUUGAAACUGGCAGUCUUGAGUACAGGAGAGGUGGGCGGAAUUCGUGGUGUAGCGGUGAAAUGCUUAGAUAUCACGAAGAACUCCGAUUGCGAAGGCAGCUCACUGGACUGCAACUGACACUGAGGCUCGAAAGUGUGGGUAUCAAACAGGAUUAGAUACCCCAGUAGUC
This 460-nucleotide ribosomal RNA is filed under the name uncultured bacterium. RNAcentral's name for it is "partial 16S ribosomal RNA". It matches the Rfam family "Bacterial small subunit ribosomal RNA", at positions 338 to 795 of the family's 1533-position model. The record is from RNAcentral.